CCUACGGGUGGCUGCAGUGGGGAAUAUUGGACAAUGGGGGGAACCCUGAUCCAGCCAUGACGCGUGUGUGAAGAAGGCCCUCGGGUUGUAAAGCACUUUCAGUGAGGAAGAACGCCUGGUGGUUAAUACCCAUCAGGAAAGACAUCACUCACAGAAGAAGCACCGGCUAACUCCGUGCCAGCAGCCGCGGUAAUACGGAGGGUGCGAGCGUUAAUCGGAAUUACUGGGCGUAAAGCGCGCGUAGGUGGCUUGAUAAGCCGGUUGUGAAAGCCCCGGGCUCAACCUGGGAACGGCAUCCGGAACUGUUAAGCUAGAGUGCAGGAGAGGAAGGUGGAAUUCCCGGUGUAGCGGUGAAAUGCGUAGAGAUCGGGAGGAAUACCAGUGGCGAAGGCGGCCUUCUGGACUGACACUGACACUGAGGUGCGAAAGCGUGGGUAGCAAACAGGAUUAGAUACCCCAGUAGUC
RNAcentral lists this ribosomal RNA (465 nucleotides) under Vreelandella stevensii. Its description in RNAcentral is "partial 16S ribosomal RNA". It matches the Rfam family "Bacterial small subunit ribosomal RNA", at positions 338 to 795 of the family's 1533-position model. Lineage: Bacteria; Pseudomonadati; Pseudomonadota; Gammaproteobacteria; Oceanospirillales; Halomonadaceae. The record is from RNAcentral.